RNAcentral lists this ribosomal RNA (301 nucleotides) under uncultured bacterium. Its description in RNAcentral is "partial 16S ribosomal RNA". It matches the Rfam family "Bacterial small subunit ribosomal RNA", at positions 509 to 807 of the family's 1533-position model. The record is from RNAcentral.
CAGCCGCCACGGUAAUACGAAGGGGGCUAGCGUUGUUCGGAAUCACUGGGCGUAAAGAGCACGUAGGCGGAUCUUUAAGUCAGAGGUGAAAUCCCGAGGCUCAACCUCGGAACUGCCUUUGAUACUGGGGAUCUCGAGUCCGGGAGAGGUGAGUGGAACUGCGAGUGUAGAGGUGAAAUUCGUAGAUAUUCGCAAGAACACCAGUGGCGAAGGCGGCUCACUGGCCCGGAACUGACGCUGAGGUGCGAAAGCGUGGGGAGCAAACAGGAUUAGAUACCCCAGUAGUCCCUGUCUCUUAUAC